AUUGGAUUUUUUUUGGUCUACCUCCAGGUGUAGAAGGCCUUGAAAUGAAGAGUGUCUACGAAGUGAGAAAUGGCAUCAUAAACUGGGUAUCUGAAGUGCUGAUGUUGCAAAAUUCUCUCUGGGCUCACUUGAAAUGCAAUGGGAGAAGACAAUGAGAAGACAAUGAGAUUAUCACCCCCUCCACCCAGCACCCCUCCCAACCCCAUCCAAUUACCC
Molecule: long non-coding RNA, 216 nt
Organism: Alosa sapidissima (American shad)
Lineage: Eukaryota; Metazoa; Chordata; Actinopteri; Clupeiformes; Clupeidae
Exons: 3
Source: RefSeq, a predicted model, not a curated record